This 87-nucleotide transfer RNA is filed under the name Bacteroidales bacterium. RNAcentral's name for it is "tRNA-Leu". It matches the Rfam family "tRNA". Rfam says of the family: Transfer RNA (tRNA) molecules are approximately 80 nucleotides in length. Their secondary structure includes four short double-helical elements and three loops (D, anti-codon, and T loops). Lineage: Bacteria; Pseudomonadati; Bacteroidota; Bacteroidia; Bacteroidales. The record is from RNAcentral.
ACCCGAGUGGCGGAAUUGGUAGACGCGCUAGUUUCAGGGACUAGUAUCCUUACGGAUGUGCAGGUUCAAGUCCUGUCUCGGGUACUA